GACGAAGGAUGCAAGCGUUAUCCGGAUUCAUUGGGUUUAAAGGGUGCGUAGGCGGACUAAUAAGUCAGUGGUGAAAUCUCUCAGCUUAACUGAGAAACUGCCAUUGAUACUGUUAGUCUAGAGUAUAGAUGACGUUGGCGGAAUAUGACAUGUAGUGGUGAAAUACUUAGAUAUGUCAUAGAACACCGAUUGCGAAGGCAGCUAACGAAACUAUAACUGACGCUGAGGCACGAAAGUGCGGGGAUCAAACAGG
Molecule: ribosomal RNA, 253 nt
Filed under: uncultured bacterium
Lineage: Bacteria
Description: partial 16S ribosomal RNA
Rfam family: Bacterial small subunit ribosomal RNA
Source: RNAcentral